UGCCCAUUCCUGACACACAUAAUUGACUUUCUGAUUUUAAGCCGGAUCCAUGGUUAAAUCUGGUUCCAAAUGACAGCCCUUUAGAGCAUCUGCUGUUUUUCUUGAUAAUGUGUUCUGGGAAAUUUAAGGUCACUAACUAGAUCUAAAGGAGAUGAGAUUGCCAAGUUUCAAAAGGGCAGGAACAAUCCUUGGCCGCACGCCAGGGAAGGAAAGACCAUUUCAUGGAGAAGGAAGGAAAAGGUAGUGAGUGCCCCAUGGGAAAAACAAUUGGAACAGAAUGGAUAUAAAGACAGAUGAGCUGGAGAGUGGAGCUACUCCUAGGGAAAGACUCACCCCCAACAACUGUGGAGGAGGCAGUGCUAUCCCCUGCCAAGAUGAAGCUGCUGUUGCUGUGUCUGGGGCUGACCCUUGUCUGUGCCCAGGAGGAAGAAACAAUAACACUGUGACAAGCAACUUUGAUCUGUCAAAGAUUUCAGGAGAGUGGUAUUCGGUUCUCAUAGCCUCUGACCAGAGGGAAGAGAUAGAAGAAGACGGAAAUAUGAGGGUUUUUGUGGAACACAUUGGUUACCAGGGGGAAUCUUCUCUGACUUUUAAGUUGCAUGAAAUAUCACGGACACAAUGUAGUUAACAUACUUGAAGUGGACUAUGAUAAUUAUAUAUUUUUUCAUGACAAGAAUUUCAGGGAUGGGGAAACAUUCCUACUGAUGGAGCUCUAUGAUCGAUGUCUCCAGGCCCGAGAUGGGGGAGCAGCCUAAGCCUCCAGUGUGAAUGCUUUGUCACCUGGACUCCAAUAUCUUCCCUUCCUGGACCCCACGUCCUCUUGUGACAAGUUCUGUGACCUGGUUUCCAUCAUGUCACACACAAAGACAUCAUCCCUGCAUCUUUAGGAUCUUCCCUAACUGCAGAAGAAGACUCAGAAAUUCACCAAGGAUUAAAGGUUUGCUCUGAAUUUCUGACUUUGUCACAGCCAGGGGAACUCUACAUGAAUAACACCUGACUCCACAUGAUCCAUAAAUAAA
Sapajus apella (tufted capuchin) is the source of this 1019-nucleotide long non-coding RNA. RefSeq lists it as uncharacterized. The transcript has 5 exons. The record is from RefSeq and is a predicted model, not a curated record. Lineage: Eukaryota; Metazoa; Chordata; Mammalia; Primates; Cebidae.